CGUACCGCCGAAGUCGUGUCAUUGCGAUAUAUACCCCAACGGGAGUCGUGGAUGGGUAGGGGAGGCGGUCGUGUGCCGGUGAAGCAGCACCGGAAGGUAGUUGUGGACGGUUCACGAGUGAGAAUGCAGGCAUGAGUAGCGAUUCACACGUGAGAAACGUGUGCGCCGAUUGACUAAGGGUUCCUGGGUCAAGCUGAUCUGCCCAGGGUAAGUCGGGACCUAAGGCGAGGCCGACAGGCGUAGUCGAUGGAUAACCGGUUGAUAUUCCGGUACCCGCUGUGAAGCGUCAAACAUCGAAUCCAGUGAUGCUAAGCCCGUGAAGCCGUUCCGGACCCUUCGG
RNAcentral lists this non-coding RNA (340 nucleotides) under Streptomyces afghaniensis 772. RNAcentral describes it as "Bacterial large subunit ribosomal RNA". It matches the Rfam family "Bacterial large subunit ribosomal RNA", at positions 1187 to 1512 of the family's 2925-position model. The record is from Rfam by way of RNAcentral. Lineage: Bacteria; Bacillati; Actinomycetota; Actinomycetes; Kitasatosporales; Streptomycetaceae.